GCUGGGGUGGCGGAAUUGGUAUACGCGCAUGGCUUAGGACCAUGUCCCUCACGGGUUAGGAGUUCAAGUCUCCUCCCCAGCA
RNAcentral lists this transfer RNA (82 nucleotides) under Minisyncoccota bacterium. RNAcentral's name for it is "tRNA-Leu". It matches the Rfam family "tRNA". From Rfam's summary of the family: Transfer RNA (tRNA) molecules are approximately 80 nucleotides in length. The record is from RNAcentral. Lineage: Bacteria; Bacillati; Minisyncoccota.